UGGCCCAACGCCAUUAGUGCCCUCUGUACAUACCCAGAACUGGAUGCAUUGAAGGAAAAAGAAGAGAAAGCCAUGUGGAACUCAGGUGGGCAGCAUCCAUUCUGCUGAAGACCAGAAUACAGCAAAAGGUGAAGGAAGAGCAAAUUUCCUCUCUCUUCCAGAACUGGAACAUCCGUCUUCUCCUGGACCCUCAGAUACUGACAGACCUGGUUCUCAAGCCUUCAGACUUACGUUCAGGACUUACACCACUGACUCCUCUGGUUCUCAGAUCUUUAGGCUUGGACUAGAACUAAACCACCAGUCUUCCUGGGCCUGCAGCUUGCAGACAGUAGAUCAUGGGACUUCUCAGCCUUCAUAAUUGCAUAAGUUAAUUUCUAUAAUUAAUUAACUAGUUAAUUUGUGCAUAUAUGUGUAUCCUAUUGGUUGUUUUUUAGAGAACUCUGACUAAUACAAGUAUUAUGAAGGAAGAAUUCUGAAUCUGAAAAUUGUAAAACACAAACACAUAUAAAGAAAAAAGGCUUGGCAUAGUGGCUCACACCUGUAAUCCCAGCACUUUGGGAAGCCAAGUCAGGUGAAUCACUUGAGCCCAGGAGUUCAAGACCAACCUGGGUAACAUGACAAAACAUCAUCUCUACAAAAAAUACAACAACAACAAAAAUUAGCUGGGCAUGAUGCCAUGCACUUGUAUUCCCAGCUACUUGGGAAGCUGGUAGGAAGAGGUAGGAGGAUUGAUUGAGCCUGGAAAGUUGAGGCUGCAGUGAGCUUCAACCACUGCACCACUGCAUGCCAACCUGGACAACAGAGCAAGACCUUGUUUAAAAAAGAAAAUAAAAGUAAAUAAAAAAGAAAACAAAUAUUGACCAUGAUCUCACAACCCAGAGAUAACCUUUAUUAAUAUUUUGAAGCAAUUUCUCUAGUCAUUUCCUAUACAUUGCUUUCCACAUCUGUAACCGGUGUUAUAUAUAGUUUUGACUACCUUUCUAAUUGUUCCAUUAUAAGUAUUUUUCAAUGUCACCAAAAAUGUCUUCAAAGUACUCUUUACAAUGACUACAAAAUUGCCUUUUAGAUGAAUAAACCACAAUUCACAUAUUUAUUUUAAUAACUCAUUAUUUUCUAAUCACAAAAUAAUUGUGUCCAUUUACAAAAUUAGAGAACGCAAUUAUAAAUCGCCCAUAAUCUUAUUGCUCAGAUAUAGCCACUAUUAAUAUUAUGAUAGAUUUCCUUCCAGUAUUUUUCUAUGAUUAGCUAUUAUGUACUUAAAAAUAAUUGAGGUCAUAUAUUACAAGUAUUUUC
Molecule: long non-coding RNA, 1293 nt
Organism: Callithrix jacchus (white-tufted-ear marmoset)
Lineage: Eukaryota; Metazoa; Chordata; Mammalia; Primates; Cebidae
Source: Ensembl